UUAAGUGAUGAUAGCCUAGGAGAUACACCUGUACCCAUGCCGAACACAGUAGUUAAGCCCUAGCACGCCGGAAGUAGUUGGGGGUUGCCCCCUGUGAGAUAUGGUAGUCGCUUAGC
RNAcentral lists this ribosomal RNA (116 nucleotides) under Streptococcus cuniculipharyngis. The record is from RNAcentral. Lineage: Bacteria; Bacillati; Bacillota; Bacilli; Lactobacillales; Streptococcaceae.